This 18-nucleotide small nuclear RNA is filed under the name Arabidopsis thaliana (thale cress). Its description in RNAcentral is "snRNA_19171". Lineage: Eukaryota; Viridiplantae; Streptophyta; Magnoliopsida; Brassicales; Brassicaceae. The record is from RNAcentral.
UUGUCAGGUGGGGAGUUU